Molecule: long non-coding RNA, 1047 nt
Organism: Peromyscus californicus insignis
Lineage: Eukaryota; Metazoa; Chordata; Mammalia; Rodentia; Cricetidae
Exons: 3
Source: RefSeq, a predicted model, not a curated record
UGAUUAGAAACAGGUCCCCAGAAUCCAUUCAAAUGGUCACCAAAAAGCAAGUUUCUUCCUACAAAAUCCUCCUUGGUUCCUAAGGAGCAGGUGUUUGCCUUAGAGCAAAUUCAGGCCAGUUAAAAAGAAAUCACCAACCAUCAGACUUUCAGAUCCUGCCACAAAACCACAAAGCUUUCACACAGCUCAUUUUAGUGGCCAACUGAUGAAAGCGUUCUGGUCACUGGGUACCCGUCCCCAAGUCUACAUGUAAAUUAGAAUGCUAAAGACGUGCGCUCUGUUUUCUAAAUUGCUUAAAUUCCUAGGCGGAAAGGCACCCGGCAUGCAGGAAGGAAAAGAGCUUAGGGUUAGCUAGUCAAAGCGCGGGGCUUGCAGGGCUGGGAUGCCUGCAGGUGCCUGGAAGCCUCCGAAGCCUGCCCAGAUCCCGACCCUGCGCGGGGGAGGACCCCAGGAAACACAGAGCACAGUCCAGGUCCCACUAGUCUCCUUCCUCCUGCCCUCAGAGCUCUGCCUCUUCCCGGGCUGUUUUCUGCUGCUUUUCCCGCCCACAACGCUGUCUCCCGGGGUUGGAUUGAGUGAAAGGUCUCCAUGGAGACGCGAAACUGAAGAGGCAGAGGCGGAAGAGUGGGAGGCCCAGUCCUCAAACAUCAGUGGAGAAUUGUGCUCAGUACUUACAGGGCGAGGGAAGCGGAGGCGAUGAAGGACAACGCAAGUGAGAAUCUGGCAUCUCAUGAAAGUCCGCUUCACCGAAGUUUCUGACCUUGCAGCUUAAACAGGUACUUGAUUCACCGUGACAUCCGGGCUACUCAUUCAUCUUCAUGAUUUCAGCCAUAUUCAAGAUCCCUAAUCAACCUGCUUAGGAUUUCAUUUCUCUCCAAUGAUUCAAAGAUCUUACUGUGGAACCCUGAUUGCCCUGGAACUCUCAAUGUAAGCAUGAUGGCCUCAAACUCACAGAGAUCCACCUGCCUCUGCCUCAUAAGCACUGGGAUUAAAGGUAUACAACACCUUGCAAGGCUACUUUCUUAAAUAAAAUACAAACUAUCAUGA